UUGGAGAGGCUGGAGGGCAUGCUGGCCCAGUCCGUAAGCACUCAGUACCACAUGGCUGGGGUCCGAACGGAAGAGACUCUGAGGGACUUUGAAGAUGGCAUGGAAGUUGACGCGGCCCCAGUAGUUACGGGACAGUUCGAAGAUGCUGAUGUUGAACAUUAAAGCAAGAUUCUCUUGGCAUCUUCAAAGCAGGAUUCCCCAAGAUUGGCAAGGUUACAAGAAUGAACACAGUUCCUCUAUUUGACCCAACCAUGAAGACUGUAAAUGGUUUUGUAGCUGUGCUUAUAAAACAUGAUUUGACUUUUUUUUCAUACAUAAGAGAUGCAACACACACAACAGGGGAAGCUACAUCUUGGUUCUGAUCGAGAAUUAAUUAUGACUUGCAACUUAAGAGCCUUUACAUGAUAUACCAGAGCAGGGAUAUCCAAGUUCAACAAGUGUUAAGGCUAGUGGACUUCAACUCCCAAAAUUUAAGACUUUGGGACUUCAACUCCCAGAAUCUAAGACUUUUGAGACUUCAACUCCCAGAAUUUAAGACUUUUGAGGCUUCAACUCCCAGAAUUUAAGACUUUGGGGCUUCAACUCCCAGAAUCUAAGACUUUUGAGACUUCAACUCCCAGAAUUUAAGACUUUUGAGGCUUCAACUCCCAGAAUUUAAGACUUUGGGGCUUCAACUCCCAGAAUCUAAGACUUUUGAGACUUCAACUCCUAGAAUUUAAGACUUUUGAGGCUUCAACUCCCAGAAUUUAAGACUUUGGGGCUUCAACUCCCAGAAUCUAAGACUUUUGAGACUUCAGCUCCCAGAUUUUAAGACUUUUGAGGCUUCAACUCCCAGAAUUUAAGACUUUGGGGCUUCAACUCCCAGAAUUGCCCAGGCAGCCAUGCUGGGCAAUUCUGGGAGUUAAAGUCCCAAAGUCUUACAUUCUGGGAGUUGAAGUCUCAAAAUCUUACAUUCUGGGAGUUGAAGUCCACAGAUCUUAAAAGUUGCCAAGGUUGGACAGGAAUAAAAUUGUUAAGUGAAUCCAUGGAUUGUUAAGUAAGGAAUAAAAUUGUAACUUAGAACAGAAUUCUAGAUGGUUCCAGGAUCGUUCUCCUAUGUUUUAAUGUUUGUUUGUCUACAGCCAGGUUCAUGCAACAGGAAUUAUUAUGCUAUUAUCUUAAGGUGGUUAGAGCUAGGACAGAGAUGCGGAGUCAAAGAAAUUGUGGAAAUCCUGCAAUGAAUUGACUCCCGUCUCUCCCAGAAUCUUGUAUGAUGUUUCUAAGGGCCCAUUUUGGCACCGAGCAGAUGGUUGUGCGCUCCAGAUAAAAUCUUUUUGUUAUUUCUGCUAUAAAGAAAAAUGAAGUGGUUCAAUAAAGAUGAUUUUUGUAUCUUACAG
Molecule: long non-coding RNA, 1376 nt
Filed under: Naja naja (Indian cobra)
Lineage: Eukaryota; Metazoa; Chordata; Lepidosauria; Squamata; Elapidae
Description: lncRNA (ENSNNAG00000008805.1)
Source: RNAcentral